CCUACGGGUGGCUGCAGUCGAGAAUCAUUCACAAUGGGGGAAACCCUGAUGGUGCGACGCCGCGUGGGGGAAUGAAGGUCUUCGGAUUGUAAACCCCUGUCAUGUGGGAGCAAAUUAAAAAGAUAGUACCACAAGAGGAAGAGACGGCGAACUCUGUGCCAGCAGCCGCGGUAAUACAGAGGUCUCAAGCGUUGUGCGGAAUCACUGGGCUCAAAGCGUGCGUAGGCUGGUUCGUAAGUGGUGUGUGAAAGGCGCGGGCUCAACCUGCGGACGGCACAUGAUACUGCGAGACUAGAGUAAUGGUGGGGGAACCGGAAUGCUCGGUGUAGCAGUGAAAUACGUAGAGAUCG
This 350-nucleotide ribosomal RNA is filed under the name uncultured bacterium. RNAcentral describes it as "partial 16S ribosomal RNA". It matches the Rfam family "Bacterial small subunit ribosomal RNA", at positions 338 to 699 of the family's 1533-position model. The record is from RNAcentral.